Bos taurus (domestic cattle) is the source of this 1036-nucleotide long non-coding RNA. NCBI's taxonomy places the organism in Eukaryota, Metazoa, Chordata, Mammalia, Artiodactyla, Bovidae. The record is from Ensembl.
UGUGCCCACAUGUUUCCCAAGGGGCCACAACCCUCGGGGGUGCCUGGUGGGUGCUGAAGUCGGGGUGUCCUGGAUGAAGUCGGCGUGCCCUGGGUGAAGUUGGGGUGUCCUUGGUGAAGUCAGGGUGGCAAGCCUCUUGGGUACUGAAGUCGGGGUGUCCUGGAUGAAAUUGGGGUACCAUGGAUGAAGUCAGGGUGUCCUGGGUGAAGUCAGGCUGUCUUGAAGUUGGGGUAUCGUGGGUGAGGUCAGGGUGCCCUGGGUGAAGUCAGGGUGUCCUGGGUGAAGUCAGGGUGUCCUUGGUGAAGUCUGGGUGUCCUGGAUGAAGUCAGGGUGCCCUGGGUGAAGUUGGGGUGUCCUGGGUGAAGUCGGGGUGCCCUGGGUGAAGUCGGGGUGCCCUGGGUGAAGUUGGGGUGCCCUGAGUGAAGUCGGGGUGCCCUGGGUGAAGUCCCCGUGUCACUGGACCCACCCGUCUACCACCAGCCCCCGCCCGGGCGCCUCCUCCCCCCGCCAAGCUCCGGCUGCACCUGCCUGGCUCCUCCCCACCGGGCGCUGUCGGCCUUCCCACCUGUCUGUACGGGGGUCACCCUAUGUUGCCCUGCCUCCCAGCAGGGGCCCUUGACAUCCAGCCUCCCCCAAGCAGAGAGCAGUGAUGGGAAAGUGAAGGUCAUCCUUGAGCUUGAAGAUGCUCGAGGUCGUCCUGAAUCAGGCAUGGUCCUCCCUAAAGGAGCUGCCCGCUGGGCCAAGCUUCAGGACCCUCAGGCCGGGUGCCCUCUCACCCCAUCCGCCUCAGCUUGUGCCCAGGACAGAUCUGGAGAGGCCCGCUGGGGCCCCGGGGAGAUGGAAGCCCUGGAGCUGGCUGGGGCCCAGGGCCUGGCUCUGCACGCUCCCAGCAGGAUGAUGCCACCCACUGGGGCCCCAGACUCCUUUCCUGAGAGGCCUGGGCGGCGGCUGCCCUGGUGGGGGGCCGUGGGUCCCUCUGCCCAGCCUGCCCCGUUCUGGGUUCUGAUCCCAGAUGGGGUGGGGCCGGGCCCCUGCU